CAAUAGCGUAUAUUUAAGUUGUUGCAGUUAAAAAGCUCGUAGUUGGAUUUCGGAUGGGAUUUGCCGGUCCGUCGUUACGAUGUGCACUGGCCAGUCCUAUCUUGUUGUCGGGGACUAGCUCCUUGGAUUCACUUCCUGGGACUAGGAGCUGACGAGGUUACUUUGAGUAAAUUAGAGUGUUCAAAGCAAGCCUACGCUCUGAAUACAUUAGCAUGGAAUAACACGAUAGGACUCUGGCUUAUCUUGUUGGUCUGUGAGACCAGAGUAAUGAUUAAGAGGGACAGUCGGGGGCAUUCGUAUUUCAUUGUCAGAGGUGAAAUUCUUGGAUUUAUGAAAGACGAACUUCUGCGAAAGCAUUUGUCAAGGAUGUUUNCAUUA
Molecule: ribosomal RNA, 378 nt
Filed under: uncultured eukaryote
Lineage: Eukaryota
Description: partial 18S ribosomal RNA
Rfam family: Eukaryotic small subunit ribosomal RNA
Source: RNAcentral